RNAcentral lists this ribosomal RNA (450 nucleotides) under uncultured bacterium. RNAcentral's name for it is "partial 16S ribosomal RNA". It matches the Rfam family "Bacterial small subunit ribosomal RNA", at positions 354 to 796 of the family's 1533-position model. The record is from RNAcentral.
GUGGGGAAUUUUGGACAAUGGGCGCAAGCCUGAUCCAGCAAUGCCGCGUGCAGGAAGAAGGCCUUCGGGUUGUAAACUGCUUUUGUCAGGGAAGAAAUCUUCUGGGCUAAUACCCCGGGAGGAUGACGGUACCUGAAGAAUAAGCACCGGCUAACUACGUGCCAGCAGCCGCGGUAAUACGUAGGGUGCGAGCGUUAAUCGGAAUUACUGGGCGUAAAGCGUGCGCAGACGGCUUUGCAAGACAGAUGUGAAAUCCCCGGGCUGAACCUGGGAACUGCAUUUGGGACUGCAAGGCUAGAGUACGGCAGAGGGGGAUGGAAUUCCGCGUGUAGCAGUGAAAUGCGUAGAUAUGCGGAGGAACACCAAUGGCGAAGGCAAUCCCCUGGGCCUGUACUGACGCUCAUGCACGAAAGCGUGGGGAGCAAACAGGAUUAGAAACCCUAGUAGUCC